Molecule: long non-coding RNA, 583 nt
Organism: Mauremys reevesii (Reeves's turtle)
Lineage: Eukaryota; Metazoa; Chordata; Testudines; Geoemydidae
Exons: 4
Source: RefSeq, a predicted model, not a curated record
CUGAUCAUUAAUCUAUCUCCUCAGGCCUUAUUCUAACAAUCCAAAACCCUUCAAAUAGCCAAGUUGGGUUGGGGUUUUUUGUUCACUCUGCCACAGAAAUGUUUCCUCCUUCUCCCCAAAUUUGAAUGUCCCCUCCUAUCCCUUCCAAAGUAGCCUGACCCAAUACUCAGGACAGGCAAGGGACAGCAAUUGAUCAUAAUGGGGAAAAGGGGUUUUAAAAGCCAGCCCAAGGACUGAAGGAGACAGAAAGCCUUUCCCCUCGCUCCCCAUCAGAAGAUCCUGCCCAUUGUUUUCAAGUGCAAGUGCCCCUUUACCCUUGUUUUACCAGAGGAGGCAAACAACGUACACCUGGUCAUCGCUACGUCAUUCACUGACCUACAUUCAGGAGUAAUAUGGUCCCAUAGCAUGGACAUGUAAGUCAACAGCGAAUGUGGGCUGGUCUCCAGGUUCAUCCCUAAAGAGCUCCUUGGAAAAUGAGCACAGAAUGUCCGCUACCCGCACCCUGCUGAGUGGGCUGAUUCAAGACUUCAAGCUUCACUUGGUACUUCUGGGACUGCAAGCCUUCCAUGGUCCCAUCUGAUCU